RNAcentral lists this long non-coding RNA (288 nucleotides) under Lathyrus oleraceus (garden pea). RNAcentral describes it as "Pisum sativum (pea) long non-coding RNA (PSAT_LNC025563)". The record is from RNAcentral. Lineage: Eukaryota; Viridiplantae; Streptophyta; Magnoliopsida; Fabales; Fabaceae.
UCCUUCUUAAAUUUUAAAAUCUCUCCCUCCCUUUCAAAACGUUCUUUGUUUGUGUUUUCAACUUAGACUUGUUUCAAUGAGUAGAAACUUUGGCCUUAUCCCAUUGAUUUUCAAAACACUUUCUUAAUCAAAUUGUGAAUAAACUUAAUCAUAUUAACUUAACUUUCAAAAAGACAAAAAGAACUAACAAACUCAUUUGAUUCUUUGGCCAUUUUGUGCCGUUUUGUUUUAAAACUUUUGCAAGAGAGUAUUUAGAUUUGAGUUAUCUACGGUUGAGAUAUAAUUCUC